UUUAUUUAUUUUUCCAAUCAGUUAUGAGAUUCAUGUUCACUGAUGUGAGGUUGUCAAUCUGCCACCAUCCAGAGGAAGUCCUGUGAACACAAACAAACAAACAGAGAAGUCAACUGCAAGACCGGUUUCACCACGUUUAUUUUUUUAUGUUUUAUGUUUUAUCAAUUCACCAUCGCUAAAUUUGCUUCUGAAAUGCAGUACCAUGUUAAAUGCACGUUGUAAAUCUUCCUCAGGCUGACAUCGUUGCUGAUUUACAAAGGCAAACUCUAGCUAGCACCUAGCUUCAGUCAUUGAAAACAUGGUGGGCAGAGCUAGCUAGAACUAGUGGUUUCCAUGUACCUCUGUAGGCUAUGCCAUUUCAGCACAAACACGGCUGAUAAGACGUGUUUGCAGUGUAUACAGUUAGAAUCCUUCAAUGCUCAGAGACAAAAUGAAAGCAGGUUAAAGCUAGAACUACAUUAAAAGUUCGUUGUCGGGAAGCUUACCUUGCCUGGCUCUGCUGCACUGAAGUUGAACUAGCUCGCGGUGGCGGCGAGUCCUGUUGUUGCUAGGCAACGAAAGUUUGGUUACUGCAGAACAGAAGCGUCUCAAUUAGUAUACUUCUGUACUUCAAGCACACUCGUUCUAGUUGUACGCUGCCCGCUCUGCUUGCAGUAUGGCUCAGAGACGCUGACGUUGUUCAAUUGAGUACCCUGACACACAAGGGUGGAGUUUGAGACGCACCACACAGUGCUUUCGCACGCAGGCAGCAACCAGGGUAACUUUCAAGGACUUCCUCUGGAUGGUGGCAGAUUGACAACCUCACAUCAGUGAACAUGGAUCUCAUAACUGAUUGGAAAAAUAAAUAAAGUUUUGCACACAAUGUGUUUGUCUGUGUACUUGAAUCACUUCAUAGUAGGCUAGUCUAUAUUGUAUUAAAAAUGGUAAUAACUAAGUAAUUGAGUGGAAAUAAGAAAUAAGACAUUUUAAGACCAUGAAAAUAUGUAAUUUCCAUAAAAUUGAGUGGAAUAGGUGAUAAUGCAUUUUACGGCCCUGAUUCUAUCUUAUUUCCAUAUAACUACUCAAUUGUUUACAAGGUAAUUAAGCAGAAAUAAUACAAGGAUGCUUGGGUGGUCGUUUCUAUGCAAUAACAUAGGAAGAGGAAGUAUUGCACAUUACGGCCCUGAUGUAGCCUAAUUAGUAUGAAACUA
Engraulis encrasicolus (European anchovy) is the source of this 1190-nucleotide long non-coding RNA. RefSeq lists it as uncharacterized. NCBI's taxonomy places the organism in Eukaryota, Metazoa, Chordata, Actinopteri, Clupeiformes, Engraulidae. The transcript is spliced from 2 exons. The record is from RefSeq and is a predicted model, not a curated record.